RNAcentral lists this ribosomal RNA (487 nucleotides) under Acinetobacter sp. BZB3. Its description in RNAcentral is "bacterial SSU rRNA". It matches the Rfam family "Bacterial small subunit ribosomal RNA", at positions 12 to 496 of the family's 1533-position model. The record is from RNAcentral. Lineage: Bacteria; Pseudomonadati; Pseudomonadota; Gammaproteobacteria; Moraxellales; Moraxellaceae.
UUUGAUCCUGCUCAGAUUAAGCCUGGCGGCAGGCUUAACCAAUCAAGUCGAGCGGGGGAAGUAACUUUCUACCGGACCUAGCGGCGGACGGGUGAGUAAUGCUUAGGAAUCUGCCUAUUAGUGGGGGACAACAUCUCGAAAGGGGAUGCUAAUACCGCAUACGUCCUACGGGAGAAAGCAGGGGAUCUUCGGACCUUGCGCUAAUAGAUGAGCCUAAGUCGGAUUAGCUAGUUGGUGGGGUAAAGGCCUACCAAGGCGACGAUCUGUAGCGGGUCUGAGAGGAUGAUCCGCCACACUGGGACUGAGACACGGCCCAGACUCCUACGGGAGGCAGCAGUGGGGAAUAUUGGACAAUGGGGGGAACCCUGAUCCAGCCAUGCCGCGUGUGUGAAGAAGGCCUUAUGGUUGUAAAGCACUUUAAGCGAGGAGGAGGCUACUUUAGUUAAUACCUAGAGAUAGUGGACGUUACUCGCAGAAUAAGCACCGC